AACGUAGGAGGCAAGCGUUAUCCGGAUUUACUGGGCGUAAAGGGCGUGCAGGUGGUGGGAUAAGUCGUGCGUGAAAGCCUCCGGCUCAACCGGGGGAGGCCGGGCGAGACUGUCCGACUAGAAACAGGCAGAGGGAAGUGGAAUUCCGGGUGUAGUGGUGAAAUGCGUAGAGAUCCGGAGGAACUCCUGUGGCGAAGGCGACUUCCUGGGCCUGCUUUGACACUCAGACGCGAAAGCAUGGGGAGCGAACGGG
RNAcentral lists this ribosomal RNA (253 nucleotides) under uncultured bacterium. RNAcentral describes it as "partial 16S ribosomal RNA". It matches the Rfam family "Bacterial small subunit ribosomal RNA", at positions 524 to 776 of the family's 1533-position model. The record is from RNAcentral.